AGACCCGAAACCCGGUGAUCUAGCCAUGGGCAGGUUGAAGGUUGGGUAACACUAACUGGAGGACCGAACCGACUAAUGUUGAAAAAUUAGCGGAUGACCUGUGGCUGGGGGUGAAAGGCCAAUCAAACCGGGAGAUAGCUGGUUCUCCCCGAAAGCUAUUUAGGUAGCGCCUCGUGAAUUCAUCUCCGGGGGUAGAGCACUGUUUCGGCUAGGGGGCCAUCCCGGCUUACCAACCCGAUGCAAACUGCGAAUACCGGAGAAUGUUAUCACGGGAGACACACGGCGGGUGCUAACGUCCGUCGUGAAGAGGGAAACAACCCAGACCGCCAGCUAAGGUCCCAAAGUCAUGGUUAAGUGGGAAACGAUGUGGGAAGGCCCAGACAGCCAGGAUGUUGGCUUAGAAGCAGCCAUCAUUUAAAGAAAGCGUAAUAGCUCACUGGUCGAGUCGGCCUGCGCGGAAGAUGUAACGGGGCUAAACCAUGCACCGAAGCUGCGGCAGCGAACGUAUCACUUAAAGCGAUUCAGCGGGUUACGAUUGACGGAGCGAAGCGACGUCAAAGCGUAUACAAAGUCGAGUCGGUUUAAGGAUACGUUCGUUGGGUAGGGGAGCGUUCUGUAAGCCUGCGAAGGUGGCCUGUGAGGGUUGCUGGAGGUAUCAGAAGUGCGAAUGCUGACAUAAGUAACGAUAAAGCGGGUGAAAAGCCCGCUCGCCGGAAGA
This 718-nucleotide ribosomal RNA is filed under the name Salmonella enterica subsp. enterica serovar Infantis. RNAcentral's name for it is "partial 23S ribosomal RNA". It matches the Rfam family "Bacterial large subunit ribosomal RNA", at positions 711 to 1344 of the family's 2925-position model. Lineage: Bacteria; Pseudomonadati; Pseudomonadota; Gammaproteobacteria; Enterobacterales; Enterobacteriaceae. RNAcentral also lists the same sequence under 2 other names. The record is from RNAcentral.